Molecule: long non-coding RNA, 1920 nt
Filed under: Canis lupus dingo (dingo)
Lineage: Eukaryota; Metazoa; Chordata; Mammalia; Carnivora; Canidae
Description: lncRNA (ENSCAFG00020019122.1)
Source: RNAcentral
AUGUCGUCCCUAAAUGUCCCCUGGCCCACGAGUCCACGGAGUUCCAAGCUGCGAACGGCACCUGUCCUCUCCUGUCCCCCCUUCCUACUGGUUUCCCCUUGGGAACAACUUCCGUCCCCUCAGUUCCUGAGCCAGACUCCUGGGUGUGGUAUCUUCUUCACCUCUUCCCUCCCUAUCAACCCCACUGUCUGUCGGUGCUCAGCCCCACCUGCCUCCUCACAUUCUCUGCCCCACCCCCUCCUUCGGGUCCGCAAGGUCCCAGCCCCAGCUCGGGCAUCCUCCCCCUGCAUCCAUCCCCCACAGGGCCCCAGAGGGGACUCUCUGACGCCCAGAUCCGACCACAACCGUCCAUGGCUCCCGGUCACCCCCGGGAGAAAGUUCCCAGCCUGGCCUUCCAAAGGCUCGCGAGCCUGGCCCCGCCCACCACCUCAGCCGCAUCUUGGGCUCCUGUCCUCUAAGGCUCGAGGCAGACCUGACUGCUUUGCGGUCCUCCCGGAAUCGCCCCCGGUUCCCUGCCUUCAAGCCUCCUCCCGGAACGCCCUUGCUGCGGCCAGCCCCCUUCUCAGCCACCCAGAUCUAACUUCUCCCGAUUCUCGGAGGUCCCUUCCGCAGCCUCCAGCUGAAAGGACCCCUUGCGCCCCUGGGCUCCCACGGCCGCUGGCCUCUGGCUCUGUCAUACCCCGAUCGCCCUGGAUUGGAACUGCCUGCGUCUGGGGCUGUCUCCUCCAUCAUACUGUGAGCUCCGUCUGCAAGGGGAGAUAUGGGUCUGAUUCACCUUUGGGGCCCCAGUGCGGGCAGCGGGCGGGGCGGGGGGGAACCGAAGCGGAGGGAGGAGAAGGAGGCUGGGAGGGCAGGAAGGGGGAGAGCGAGGAGGGGAGCAGACCCCGCUGCGGCAGGGAGGGAGGCAAGGGAGGAGGGGGGGCGGGAGGAGGAAGAGGAGAGACACCGAGACCUAGACCAGGAGGAGAGAAUGCACCGCGCGGGAGGCGAGGGAGCAGAGGUGGAGGGCGCGGGAGAGAGCGGCGAGGGGAGAGCCGGGCCGGCCGCGGGAGGUGGAGGGAGGGAGAAGUGGAGCGCGGCGCCCCGCCGCCCCGGCCCCUUUUGUCCCUUCCCUCCGCCCUGCGUCACGCUCCCGGCCGGCCUCCCCGCGCUCCCUCCCCCGCCCGCGCCUCCUCCCCGGGGCUGGAUGGAAUUUUUUCCCCUGGACCGGGGCCAGCUCCGGGGCCGGGGGAGGCAGGCCGGGCCGGGCCGGCGGCGGGGAGGGGCCGGCGCGGGGGCGCCCGGGGAGGGGGCCGGCCCGCGGGGUCCCGGGCGGAGACGCGGGCCGGAGGGAGUCGGGAGGAGGGAAGGAGGAUGCCGGGGCCGCCGGGAGGAAGGGGAGAGGCCGUCGGGCGGCGGAGGCGGGGAGAGGAUGGAGAGCGGGCGGCGGCGGGCCCGGCUCGGCGCGGCCUGGGGGCUGGCCGGGGAGCCCCUGCCCUCCGACGCGGGAGCCGCGGAGCCGUGAGUCUGCGGAAAGCUGGCUGGGGAGUGGGGGUGGGGAGGGGGGCUGGGGCGCGGACCCGGGGUCCCAGGAAGAGGAGGAGGCCGCGGCGGCCUGGGGUUCUGGGUUCCUGGACGAGGAGGGGGCUGGGGACCCAGACUCCCGGAUCCUGGUUGGAGGGGGCCUGGGGGGGGCCUGGAUUCCUGGGGUCCGGAGGAGAGGGCGGGGAACGGCCCCCGGAUUCCAAAGGAGGAGAGAGCUGGGGCCGGGGUAGCUGGAUGCGGACGGAGGCUGGAGGACGCUAUGGCAAGAUGCCCGCCCGAGCCCUCUGGGGAGGUGGAGGGAGAGUGGUUGGCCUUGGAGGUGCCUCCGGCAGCGGAAGGGUUAACGUCUGGCUAGAGGGGAGGGGGAGGGGCAGGGAUGGGGCUGCGGGGCUUUGA